UGGGCCUUUGCACAUGCUGUACUUGCUGCCUCAGACCCCUUAUCACUAUCUGGCAGCUUUCCAACAAUACAAUCCAGCUGCUCCCUCACAAGGGAGGCACCUAAGGAUGACGUGUAUAAUGACAGCUAUGGAGAGAGUCUGGUGUACCUGCCAACUGCCGCAGUGUCAGCUGAGAUGCAGUGAACCCAGCUGGGAGCCAGCCAUUGGGUUUGCUGCUUCCUUCCUGGGAGAAUCUUACACACAAAGGAACUCUGUAAGUUCCCUGAGAGGCUCAGACAAGGGAUUCAAUAAAUGCUGCUACACUGAUUGCCUGUAACUCUUGUUAGCCACCUGCAGCCUCCCUUCAGAGCAGUGUGUGUGUGUGUGCUGGGGCUUGAACUCAGGGCCUGGG
Molecule: long non-coding RNA, 391 nt
Organism: Dipodomys spectabilis (banner-tailed kangaroo rat)
Lineage: Eukaryota; Metazoa; Chordata; Mammalia; Rodentia; Heteromyidae
Exons: 3
Source: RefSeq, a predicted model, not a curated record